RNAcentral lists this long non-coding RNA (725 nucleotides) under Brassica rapa (field mustard). Its description in RNAcentral is "long non-coding RNA (BRAP_LNC007929)". The record is from RNAcentral. Lineage: Eukaryota; Viridiplantae; Streptophyta; Magnoliopsida; Brassicales; Brassicaceae.
CUUGGUAGAAAAUGAGAGAUAGAAUGGAGAGACUUGUGGUGCUUCCUUUCUCCGUCGGAUGUAUCUCCGACUCAAGCGUCGACGUUUUAUCUCCUCUCUCUAAGCAUCAUCAUCAUCACCACCAUUCUUCUCAAGGUUCUUUCCCUAUUCAUAGAUAUUGUAGUGUAUGUAUUAAGGUAAAAUCCCAUGCAUGUAUCUUUUAUGUGAUAUAUUGAUGUGUUUUCGAAAGGGAUUCGUGACCAAGAGGAGGAAGAAAACAUGAAGAAUGUAUUCAAGUUCCUAGCGGUAUCUAAACCGGAGAUAUCUACGGGUAUUAACCGGCUUUUCAAGAGCUUCAAGACCAUUUCUCAACUCUUUGGUAAUCUUAUCUAAUAUUGUCAAAGUAAACACUUGAUAGACCCACUUUUUUAUAUAUGUUUUUUUUUUUGCUUCAUGUUAAUACAGUAGCUUACAAAGAAGAAGAAGAGAGUGAAGAAGGAGAGACAUCAGGACUAAUGGAGAUAGGAGCACCGACAAACGUAAAACAUGUAUCGCACAUUGGUUGGGAAAGCAGUAGAGAAUGGAAAGAUCUCAUACCGCCGGAGUUGCUCGCAGCCGCCGCUGCAAAAGAAGACGCCACCGCAGGAGUUGCUCAUCUUCAACCAACUUUAUAAAUUCACUUCCUCUAUUUAAAUUUAUUUUAUGUUUUGUACGCGAAUCUAGACAUACUUUGAUACAUAUGGCCG